This 646-nucleotide ribosomal RNA is filed under the name uncultured fungus. RNAcentral describes it as "eukaryotic LSU rRNA". The stretch from base 211 to 364 matches the Rfam family "5.8S ribosomal RNA". The record is from RNAcentral. Lineage: Eukaryota; Fungi.
UGGAAGUAAAAGUCGUAACAAGGUUUCCGUAGGUGAACCUGCGGAAGGAUCAUUAAUGAUUAACUGUCUGUCGAGCUUGCUCACAGACUUAUCAUAUCCAUAACACCUGUGCACUUGUCGGAUGGCUUAGUGAAGACCGCAAGGUUGGAACUAUCCAUCUACUUUACAUAACAAUUUAGUAACAAAUGUAGUCUUAUUAUAACAUAAUAAAACUUUCAACAACGGAUCUCUUGGCUCUCGCAUCGAUGAAGAACGCAGCGAAAUGCGAUAAGUAAUGUGAAUUGCAGAAUUCAGUGAAUCAUCGAAUCUUUGAACGCACCUUGCGCUCCCUGGUAUUCCGGGGAGCAUGCCUGUUUGAGUGUCAUGAAAACCCUCAACCUUAGAUUGGUUAACACCUUUCUUUGGCUUGGAUUUGGACGUUUGCCGAUGAUAAGUCGGCUCGUCUUAAAAGUAAUAGCUGGAUCUGUCUCGCGACAUGGUUUGACUUGGCGUAAUAAGUAUUUCGCUAAGGACAUCUUCGGAUGGCCGCGUUGCAAGACUAAAGACCGCUUUCUAAUCCAUUGAUCUUCGGAUUAAUAUUCUUGACAUCUGGCCUCAAAUCAGGUAGGACUACCCGCUGAACUUAAGCAUAUCAAUAAGCGGAGGA